Molecule: transfer RNA, 50 nt
Filed under: Schlegelia parviflora
Lineage: Eukaryota; Viridiplantae; Streptophyta; Magnoliopsida; Lamiales; Schlegeliaceae
Description: partial tRNA-Leu
Source: RNAcentral
UUUUUUGGGGAUAGAGGGACUUGAACCCUCACGAUUUUAAAAGUCGACGG